UCUUGGUCAUUUAGAGGAAGUAAAAGUCGUAACAAGGUUUCCGUAGGUGAACCUGCGGAAGGAUCAUUAUCGUAACAACCCAGAGGCACGAGGGCUGUCUGCUGACCCGUCAAAGGGUCGUGCACGCCCUUCGGCGUCCUCGCCACAAUCCACCUCACCUUUGUGCAUCACCGCGUGGGCCCCUCGAAAUAAAAGGGGGGCUUGCGUUUUUUUCAUACACACGUCGUAUUAGAGUGUUCUUGCAUUUCUUUGCAAAUCAAUACAACUUUCAACAACGGAUCUCUUGGCUCUCGCAUCGAUGAAGAACGCAGCGAAAUGCGAUACGUAAUGUGAAUUGCAGAAUUCAGUGAAUCAUCGAAUCUUUGAACGCAUCUUGCGCCCCUUGGCAUUCCGAGGGGCACACCCGUUUGAGUGUCGUGAAAUCCUCAACCUUUUCUUUGUUGGAUCGAAGAAAAAGGCUUGGACUUUGGAGGCCUUUGCCGACGCCCUUCUGUUGUGGGGUCGGCUCCUCUUAAAUGUAUUAGUGGGAUCCCCUUUGCCGAUCCUCGACGUGAUAAGCUCUUUUCUUUGACGUCGCAUUGGGAGAGGUGGAGAGACCUGCUUCACACAAUGAUCGUUGAAACCCUUUUGACCUCAAAUCGGGUGAGACUACCCGCUGAACUUAAGCAUAUCAAUAAGCGGAGGAAAAGAAACUAACAAGGAUUCCCCUAGUAACUGCGAGUGAAGCGGGAAAAGCUCAAAUUUAAAAUCUGAUGGCCUUUGGUCAUUCGAGUUGUAAUUUAGAGAAGCGUCUUCCGCGCUGGACCGUGUA
This 811-nucleotide ribosomal RNA is filed under the name Lactifluus sesemotani. RNAcentral's name for it is "eukaryotic LSU rRNA". The stretch from base 264 to 417 matches the Rfam family "5.8S ribosomal RNA". Lineage: Eukaryota; Fungi; Basidiomycota; Agaricomycetes; Russulales; Russulaceae. The record is from RNAcentral.